RNAcentral lists this ribosomal RNA (494 nucleotides) under uncultured bacterium. RNAcentral describes it as "partial 16S ribosomal RNA". It matches the Rfam family "Bacterial small subunit ribosomal RNA", at positions 28 to 507 of the family's 1533-position model. The record is from RNAcentral.
GACGAACGCUGGCGGCGUGCUUAACACAUGCCAGUCGAACGGAAAGGCCUGCUUUCCCUUGUGUAUUGCGGGUACUCGAGUGGCGAACGGGCGAGUAACACGUGAGUGAUCUGCCCCCAACUUGGGUAUAAGCCUGGGAAACUGGGUCUAAUUCCCGAUAGGACUGCAGGGUGGUGCCUGUGGUGGCAAACGAUUUUCUAGUGGUUGGGGAUGAGCUCGCGGCCUAUCAGCUUGUUGGUGGGGUAAUGGGCUACCAAGGCGGCGACGGGUAGCCGGCCAGGGAGGGUGGGCGGGAACAUUGGGACUGAGAUACGGCCCAGGCGCCUACGGGAGGCAGCAGUUGGGAGGAUUGGGCAAUGGGCGGAAGCCUGAGGCAGCGACGCCGAGUGGGGGAUGACGGGCUUCGGGUUGUAAACUCCUGUUGACCGCGAGGAAGCCACCUGGAUGGAAGGGUAGUGACGGUAGUGGUAGAAGAAGCACCGGCUAACUACGUG